Molecule: ribosomal RNA, 484 nt
Filed under: uncultured bacterium
Lineage: Bacteria
Description: partial 16S ribosomal RNA
Rfam family: Bacterial small subunit ribosomal RNA
Source: RNAcentral
AUUGAACGCUGGCGGCAGGCCUAACACAUGCAAGUCGAGCGGAUGAAGGGAGCUUGCUCCUGGAUUCAGCGGCGGACGGGUGAGUAAUGCCUAGGAAUCUGCCUGGUAGUGGGGGAUAACGUCCGGAAGCGGGCGCUAAUACCGCAUACGUCCUGAGGGAGAAAGUGGGGGAUCUUCGGACCUCACGCUAUCAGAUGAGCCUAGGUCGGAUUAGCUAGUUGGUGGGGUAAAGGCCUACCAAGGCGACGAUCCGUAACUGGUCUGAGAGGAUGAUCAGUCACACUGGAACUGAGACACGGUCCAGACUCCUACGGGAGGCAGCAGUGGGGAAUAUUGGACAAUGGGCGAAAGCCUGAUCCAGCCAUGCCGCGUGUGUGAAGAAGGUCUUCGGAUUGUAAAGCACUUUAAGUUGGGAGGAAGCGCAGUAAGUUAAUACCUUGCUGUUUUGACGUUACCAACAGAAUAAGCACCGGCUAACUUCGUG